This 468-nucleotide ribosomal RNA is filed under the name uncultured bacterium. RNAcentral describes it as "partial 16S ribosomal RNA". It matches the Rfam family "Bacterial small subunit ribosomal RNA", at positions 28 to 507 of the family's 1533-position model. The record is from RNAcentral.
GACGAACGCUGGCGGCGUGCUUAACACAUGCAAGUCGAACGGAAAGGCCCUGCUUUUGUGGGGUGCUCGAGUGGCGAACGGGUGUGUAACACGUGAGUAACCUGCCCUUUACUUUGGGAUAACUUCAGGAAACUCGGGCUAAUACCGGAUAUGAGCUCCUGCUGCAUGGUGGUGGUUGGUGAGAUUCGGCGGUUGGGGAUGGACUCGCGGCCUAUCAGCUUGUUGGUGGGGUAGUGGCUUACCGAGGCGUUGAGGGGUGGCCGGCCUGGGAGUGUGACCGGCCACAUUGGGACUGGGGUAGCGCCCAGACUGCUACGGGAGGCAGCAGUGGGGAUUAUUGCACAAUAGGCGGAAGCAUGGUACAGCAACGCCGCGUGCGGGAUGACGGCCUUCGGGUUGUAACCCGCUUUCGACUGGAAAGAAGAGUAAGUGACGGUAACGGGUAAGGAAGCAACGGCUAACUACGUG